GAUGAACGCUAGCGGCAGGCCUAAUACAUGCAAGACGAACGGCAAGAAUUGUAGCAAUACGGUUCCUAGAGUGUCGCACGGGUGCGUAACACGUAUGCAACCUACCUUGUACAGGAGUAUAGCUCUGGGAAACUCGAAUUAACCCUCCAUAAUAUAAUCGGAUGGCAUCAUUUGAUUAUUAAAACUUCGGUGGUACAAGAUGGGCAUGCGUUUGAUUAGCUAGUUGGCGGGGUAAAGGACCACCAAGGCGAUGAUCAAUAGGGGAACUGAGAGAUUGAUGCCCCAGCAUGGAACUGAGAUACGGGCCAGAAUCCUACGGGAGGCAGCAGUAGGGAAUAUUGGUCAAUGGAUGGAAGUCUGAACCAGCCAUGCCGAGUGCAGGAAGAAGGCCUUCUGGGUUGUAAACUGCUUUUGCCAGGGGAUAAAAAUUAUUUGCGAAGAAAAUUGAAGGUACCUGGUGAAUAAGCACCGGCUAACUACGUGCCAGCAGCCGCCGUAA
Molecule: ribosomal RNA, 499 nt
Filed under: uncultured bacterium
Lineage: Bacteria
Description: partial 16S ribosomal RNA
Rfam family: Bacterial small subunit ribosomal RNA
Source: RNAcentral